GGGUCGUUAGCUCAAUUGGUAGAGCAGUGGACUCUUAAUCCAUUGGUUGUAGGUUCAAGUCCUACACGACCCACCA
Molecule: transfer RNA, 76 nt
Filed under: Gammaproteobacteria bacterium
Lineage: Bacteria; Pseudomonadati; Pseudomonadota; Gammaproteobacteria
Also listed under: 1 other name
Description: tRNA-Lys
Rfam family: tRNA
About the family: Transfer RNA (tRNA) molecules are approximately 80 nucleotides in length.
Source: RNAcentral